RNAcentral lists this ribosomal RNA (492 nucleotides) under uncultured bacterium. RNAcentral's name for it is "partial 16S ribosomal RNA". It matches the Rfam family "Bacterial small subunit ribosomal RNA", at positions 29 to 507 of the family's 1533-position model. The record is from RNAcentral.
AGUGAACGCUGGCGGUAGGCCUAACACAUGCAAGUCGAACGGCAGCACAGUAAGAGCUUGCUCUUACGGGUGGCGAGUGGCGGACGGGUGAGGAAUACAUCGGAAUCUACUUUUUCGUGGGGGAUAACGUAGGGAAACUUACGCUAAUACCGCAUACGACCUACGGGUGAAAGCAGGGGAUGUUCGGGCUUUGCGCGAUUGAAUGAGCCGAUGUCGGAGUAGCUAGUUGGCGGGGUAAGGGCCCGCCAAGGCGACGAUCCGUAGCUGGUCUGAGAGGAUGAUCAGCCACACUGGAGCUGAGACACGGUCCAGACUCCUCCGGGAGGCAGCAGUGGGGAAUAUUGGAGAAUGGGCGCAAGCCUGAUGCAGCCAUACCGCGUGGGUGAAGAAGGCCUUCGGGUUGUAAAGCCCUUUUGUUGGGAAAGAAAAGCAGCAGGUUAAUACCCCGCUGUUCUGACGGUACCCAAAGAAGAAGCACCGGCUAACUUCGUG